This 423-nucleotide ribosomal RNA is filed under the name uncultured bacterium. RNAcentral describes it as "bacterial SSU rRNA". It matches the Rfam family "Bacterial small subunit ribosomal RNA", at positions 207 to 622 of the family's 1533-position model. The record is from RNAcentral.
AAGACCUUGCGCUUUUGGAGCGGCCGAUGCCUGAUUAGCUAGUUGGUGGGGUAAUGGCCUACCAAAGCUUCGAUCAGUAGCUGGUCUGAGAGGACGGCCAGCCACACUGGGACUGAGACACGGCCCAGACUCCUACGGGAGGCAGCAGUGGGGAAUUUUGGACAAUGGGCGCAAGCCUGAUCCAGCCAUGCCGCGUGAGUGAAGAAGGCCUUCGGGUUGUAAAGCUCUUUCAGCCGGGAAGAAAAGGUUGCGAUUAAUAAUCGCAAUUUAUGACGGUACCGGAAGAAGAAGCACCGGCUAACUACGUGCCAGCAGCCGCGGUAAUACGUAGGGUGCGAGCGUUAAUCGGAGUUACUGGGCGUAAAGGGUGCGCAGGCGGUUUUGUAAGUCAGAUGUGAAAUCCCCGGGCUUAACCUGGGAACU